RNAcentral lists this ribosomal RNA (421 nucleotides) under uncultured Pseudomonas sp. HD-2000/13. RNAcentral describes it as "bacterial SSU rRNA". It matches the Rfam family "Bacterial small subunit ribosomal RNA", at positions 31 to 454 of the family's 1533-position model. Lineage: Bacteria; Pseudomonadati; Pseudomonadota; Gammaproteobacteria; Pseudomonadales; Pseudomonadaceae. The record is from RNAcentral.
GAACGCUGGCGGCAGGCCUAACACAUGCAAGUCGAGCGGAUGACGGGAGCUUGCUCCUUGAUUCAGCGGCGGACGGGUGAGUAAUGCCUAGGAAUCUGCCUGGUAGUGGGGGACAACGUUUCGAAAGGAACGCUAAUACCGCAUACGUCCUACGGGAGAAAGCAGGGGACCUUCGGGCCUUGCGCUAUCAGAUGAGCCUAGGUCGGAUUAGCUAGUUGGUGGGGUAAUGGCUCACCAAGGCGACGAUCCGUAACUGGUCUGAGAGGAUGAUCAGUCACACUGGAACUGAGACACGGUCCAGACUCCUACGGGAGGCAGCAGUGGGGAAUAUUGGACAAUGGGCGAAAGCCUGAUCCAGCCAUGCCGCGUGUGUGAAGAAGGUCUUCGGAUUGUAAAGCACUUUAAGUUGGGAGGAAGGGCA